UACGAAGGGGGCUAGCGUUGCUCGGAAUUACUGGGCGUAAAGGGCGCGUAGGCGGCACUGUUAGUCAGGCGUGAAAGUCCUGGGCUCAACCUGGGAACUGCGCUUGAUACGGCAGAGCUAGAGGAUGGAAGAGGCUCGCGGAAUUCCCAGUGUAGAGGUGAAAUUCGUAGAUAUUGAGAAGAACACCGGUGGCGAAGGCGGCGAGCUGGUCCAUUACUGACGCUGAGGCGCGACAGCGUGGGGAGCAAACAGG
RNAcentral lists this ribosomal RNA (253 nucleotides) under uncultured bacterium. Its description in RNAcentral is "partial 16S ribosomal RNA". It matches the Rfam family "Bacterial small subunit ribosomal RNA", at positions 524 to 776 of the family's 1533-position model. The record is from RNAcentral.